Molecule: ribosomal RNA, 433 nt
Filed under: uncultured bacterium
Lineage: Bacteria
Description: partial 16S ribosomal RNA
Rfam family: Bacterial small subunit ribosomal RNA
Source: RNAcentral
AACGAACGCUGGCGGCAUGCCUAACACAUGCAAGUCGAACGAAACUUUCGGGUUUAGUGGCGCACGGGUGCGUAACGCGUGGGAACGUGCCCUUAGGUUCGGAAUAACUCAGGGAAACUUGAGCUAAUACCGGAUAAUCUCUUCGGGGGAAAGAUUUAUCGCCUUUGGAUGGGCCCGCGUAGGAUUAGCUAGUUGGUGGGGUAAUGGCCUACCAAGGCGACGAUCCUUAGCUGGUCUGAGAGGAUGAUCAGCCACACUGGGACUGAGACACGGCCCAGACUCCUACGGGAGGCAGCAGUGGGGAAUCUUGGACAAUGGGCGAAAGCCUGAUCCAGCCAUGCCGCGUGAGUGAUGAAGGCCUUAGGGUUGUAAAGCUCUUUUACCAGGGACGAUAAUGACGGUACCUGGAGAAGAAGCCCCGGCUAACUCCGUG